AGACCCGAAACCCGGUGAUCUAGCCAUGGGCAGGUUGAAGGUUGGGUAACACUAACUGGAGGACCGAACCGACUAAUGUUGAAAAAUUAGCGGAUGACCUGUGGCUGGGGGUGAAAGGCCAAUCAAACCGGGAGAUAGCUGGUUCUCCCCGAAAGCUAUUUAGGUAGCGCCUCGUGAAUUCAUCUCCGGGGGUAGAGCACUGUUUCGGCUAGGGGGCCAUCCCGGCUUACCAACCCGAUGCAAACUGCGAAUACCGGAGAAUGUUAUCACGGGAGACACACGGCGGGUGCUAACGUCCGUCGUGAAGAGGGAAACAACCCAGACCGCCAGCUAAGGUCCCAAAGUCAUGGUUAAGUGGGAAACGAUGUGGGAAGGCCCAGACAGCCAGGAUGUUGGCUUAGAAGCAGCCAUCAUUUAAAGAAAGCGUAAUAGCUCACUGGUCGAGUCGGCCUGCGCGGAAGAUGUAACGGGGCUAAACCAUGCACCGAAGCUGCGGCAGCGACACUCAGGUGUUGUUGGGUAGGGGAGCGUUCUGUAAGUCUGCGAAGGUGGCCUGUGAGGGUUGCUGGAGGUAUCAGA
RNAcentral lists this ribosomal RNA (579 nucleotides) under Salmonella enterica. RNAcentral's name for it is "partial 23S ribosomal RNA". It matches the Rfam family "Bacterial large subunit ribosomal RNA", at positions 711 to 1286 of the family's 2925-position model. The record is from RNAcentral. Lineage: Bacteria; Pseudomonadati; Pseudomonadota; Gammaproteobacteria; Enterobacterales; Enterobacteriaceae.